RNAcentral lists this non-coding RNA (115 nucleotides) under Dubosiella newyorkensis. Its description in RNAcentral is "FMN riboswitch aptamer (RFN element)". It matches the Rfam family "FMN riboswitch aptamer (RFN element)". From Rfam's summary of the family: The RFN element is a highly conserved domain that is found frequently in the 5'-untranslated regions of prokaryotic mRNAs that encode for flavin mononucleotide (FMN) biosynthesis and transport proteins. Lineage: Bacteria; Bacillati; Bacillota; Erysipelotrichia; Erysipelotrichales; Erysipelotrichaceae. The record is from Rfam by way of RNAcentral. RNAcentral also lists the same sequence under 1 other name.
AUAAAUCUUCAGGGCAGAGUGAAAUUCUCUACUGGCGGUAUACUCCGCGAACCUACGGGCCGAAUCGGUGAAACUCCGAUAGCAACAGUUAAAGUCUGGAUGAAAGAAGAGUUUU